RNAcentral lists this ribosomal RNA (597 nucleotides) under uncultured Pseudomonadota bacterium. Its description in RNAcentral is "bacterial SSU rRNA". It matches the Rfam family "Bacterial small subunit ribosomal RNA", at positions 97 to 671 of the family's 1533-position model. Lineage: Bacteria; Pseudomonadati; Pseudomonadota. The record is from RNAcentral.
GGCGCACGGGUGAGUAACACGUGAGUAAUCUGCCCCUAAGUCAGGAAUAACAUUGCGAAAGCGAUGCUAAUACCUGGUAAGCCCACGACUUCUUUGGUAGAUGUGGGAAAAGGUGGCCUCUGACAUAAGCUAUCACUUAGGGAUGAGCUCGCGGACCAUUAGCUUGUUGGUAGGGUAAUGGCCUACCAAGGCGAUGAUGGUUAGCUGGCCUGAGAGGGUGGCCAGCCACACUGGAACUGAGACACGGUCCAGACUCCUACGGGAGGCAGCAGUGGGGAAUCUUGCGCAAUGGGGGAAACCCUGACGCAGCAACGCCGCGUGAGUGACGAAGGCCUUCGGGUCGUAAAGCUCUGUCAGAUGGAAAGAAUUAGUUCGCUGAAAAUAUUGGCGAGUGAUGACGGUACCAUCAGAGGAAGCACCGGCUAACUCCGUGCCAGCAGCCGCGGUAAUACGGAGGGUGCAAGCGUUGUUCGGAAUUAUUGGGCGUAAAGCGCGUGUAGGCGGGAAGACAGGUCAGUUGUGAAAUCCCUUGGCCUAACCAAGGAACUGCAUCUGAAACCAUUUUCCUCGAGUACGAUAGGGGAGGGCGGAAUUCCC